AGAAGGAGGGGCGGCCGCGGGAGGCGGGGGCGGGGCAGGGGCAGGGAAGGGGCGGUGCCUCCCUGGGCCUCACCUGGCCCAGCCGGCUGAUCCUCUGGCGAACCAAGUAGAUGUUGGACGCCAUGCUGCUUGCGCCGCGCCCCCUUCCCUCAAGUCCUGCCCCCGGCGUUCGGGUUUCUGUCGCGCAUGCGUGCCCCCACCCUGCGCCUGCGUAGCGGGGGCCGUUACCUCGCGCCCAGCCCAAGUUUCCGCUUCGUGGUCUCACCACCUCGCCGUACCAAGUUCUUUUCCUCCGGCUUACCGCCACAGUUCCCAACUUUUAGGUGGAUUUAAAAAAAUAUUGACACAGAUGAAGCCGCAUUUCAAGGCUGGUGUUAGGGACCUGUUGUCAAACUGGUGGAAAGUUAUUGCAGAACAACGGACUUUGAGCGACAGAAGUGUAGGGUAUCUCUGUCAGAAGCGUCAUUCACCAAAUAUUCUUAUGGAAAUUAACUUUGUCAAAGCCAUCUUUGGAGUUAGGCUUGAGAGAUGUAGGAGAAAGGUUAUACCUACCAGAAAAUGGCUUACCCACCUGUCCUACCCUGUCCAUUAAGUUCUCCGCGUGGGAAGCUCUUGGAGUCUUUCUACGGAAGACUAAUUCCUGCUUUCCCUUCAAGAGUCGCCUUGGGUGACACUUCCUGGCAUCCAGUUAUCCGAGCCCCGAAGUAAUGAUCUCCUUACUGCCUUCCCCCAAAUCUAGGAAGAUUGGAGAGCUGGAAUGCUGGCGGCUUGGCGUGUAUGGUAAGAUGGCUAACACCAUGUAGCAAUACAUGGAGAAGAAAGGAAUUUCGCACAGUAGAAUCUCCUACCAACGUCUGAGCAGUGAUCUAUGAAUUAGCAGGUUCCUUGCGAUUGAAGUCAUUCCGCUCUUAUUGACUGUCUUUCUAGGAAGCUAAUCCUUUCUCAUCUGAGACUGGUUUACCUACUUACUUGCUUCCCAGAGAGUGCAAAGAAUGUAUUUCAAUUUUCUGGUCCACACUCUUACUCUUUUUAUCCUGACUUCCACUUCUCAGUCCUCAGCACAGCCUUAUUUAUGUUCAGUGGGCACCUAGUGAAUGAUGGCAGAUUCCUCUUUCUAAACAAAAAGGCAUCAGAGAUGCCCCUCAAGGCAGAAUCAGUGGAAAGUAACAUACAUUGGUACCCAGUGCAUCUGAGACCACUGUGGAAGGUAUAGUUGUUUCUCUUCAGGAUACCAUUAGUGCUAGAAGAUGCACCUUGAAGGUUAAGAAGUUCUCUUUUCCUUGUCCAUGUGCUACUAGAUUUUAAAAGAUAGAGACCACUUAAGGAAGCAGAAGAAAAGUGUCCGGUCCCCUAUCAGAACUCACUCACAGGCUCUGACUGGGCAGAAGAAAACAGGAGUGAGCUACUGCUGUUACCCUCAGUUAUGUAUACCCCAGAGCUGCUUCUGCCAGUCAGCAGAGCUCAGAGGAGCUCCUCCUUUCCUGAGAAGGAGCUGGUAGUGGCUGGUAGAGUAAGUGAGAUCUGAUUAGGCAACCAGAUUCUUGUGAAUUUUUUGAAUGCUGGAAAAACAAGAGUGUCUAAACAAUAGCAUCUCAUCGAAGGCACAACUGUUCAAAAUCUGGGAAGAAUGUUCAGAUGACUGUAUCACAUUGACUGCAGCACUACUCAUUUUCUGAUUUGCUCUAACAAUCUGAAGAAAGAGCCAGAAGCACUCGGCACAACAUGUUCUACUCUCUACCAGGGCCAUCAUGGAAAAUAAUGCUUGUAAUGCAGAAUUGCCCUGUCUGCGGUAGUAUAAUUGAGCCCUAUCUAUGAUAGUAUAAUUAUGGCUAAGUUACCUACAUAAUUUGUUAUUGUUUGACUAUUUCUUUGCUAUUUAUAAAAUAUAUGCCCAGUUAUAUUGGGAUUUAAGGAUAUGCAAGAGGUCAGGAGAAAGCUUUGUUUAGGGAAAUCAUAUCAUUGGCUAACUAUAACAUUUUUUGGCAUUUCUUGAUGACAAUACAGAGGUUUAUUGGAAAGAUGAGAUUUUGUAACUCAUUCUCAACAAAUAUUUGCCCUUUUUUUUUU
Sus scrofa (pig) is the source of this 2067-nucleotide long non-coding RNA. RefSeq lists it as uncharacterized. NCBI's taxonomy places the organism in Eukaryota, Metazoa, Chordata, Mammalia, Artiodactyla, Suidae. The record is from RefSeq and is a predicted model, not a curated record.